AGCGUACACGGUGGAUGCCCUGGCAGUCAGAGGCGAUGAAGGACGUGCUAAUCUGCGAUAAGCGUCGGUAAGGUGAUAUGAACCGUUAUAACCGGCGAUUUCCGAAUGGGGAAACCCAGUGUGAUUCGUCACACUAUCAUUAACUGAAUCCAUAGGUUAAUGAGGCGAACCGGGGGAACUGAAACAUCUAAGUACCCCGAGGAAAAGAAAUCAACCGAGAUUCCCCCAGUAGCGGCGAGCGAACGGGGAGGAGCCCAGAGCCUGAAUCAGUGUGUGUGUUAGUGGAAGCGUCUGGAAAGGCGCGCGAUACAGGGUGACAGCCCCGUACACAAAAAUGCACAUGCUGUGAGCUCGAUGAGUAGGGCGGGACACGUGGUAUCCUGUCUGAAUAUGGGGGGACCAUCCUCCAAGGCUAAAUACUCCUGACUGACCGAUAGUGAACCAGUACCGUGAGGGAAAGGCGAAAAGAACCCCGGCGAGGGGAGUGAAAAAGAACCUGAAACCGUGUACGUACAAGCAGUGGGAGCACAGAGCAAUCUGUGUGACUGCGUACCUUUUGUAUAAUGGGUCAGCGACUUAUAUUCUGUAGCAAGGUUAACCGAAUAGGGGAGCCGAAGGGAAACCGAGUCUUAACUGGGCGUUAAGUUGCAGGGUAUAGACCCGAAACCCGGUGAUCUAGCCAUGGGCAGGUUGAAGGUUGGGUAACACUAACUGGAGGACCGAACCGACUAAUGUUGAAAAAUUAGCGGAUGACUUGUGGCUGGGGGUGAAAGGCCAAUCAAACCGGGAGAUAGCUGGUUCUCCCCGAAAGCUAUUUAGGUAGCGCCUCGUGAAUUCAUCUCCGGGGGUAGAGCACUGUUUCGGCAAGGGGGUCAUCCCGACUUACCAACCCGAUGCAAACUGCGAAUACCGGAGAAUGUUAUCACGGGAGACACACGGCGGGUGCUAACGUCCGUCGUGAAGAGGGAAACAACCCAGACCGCCAGCUAAGGUCCCAAAGUCAUGGUUAAGUGGGAAACGAUGUGGGAAGGCCCAGACAGCCAGGAUGUUGGCUUAGAAGCAGCCAUCAUUUAAAGAAAGCGUAAUAGCUCACUGGUCGAGUCGGCCUGCGCGGAAGAUGUAACGGGGCUAAACCAUGCACCGAAGCUGCGGCAGCGACACUAUGUGUUGUUGGGUAGGGGAGCGUUCUGUAAGCCUGUGAAGGUGUACUGUGAGGUAUGCUGGAGGUAUCAGAAGUGCGAAUGCUGACAUAAGUAACGAUAAAGCGGGUGAAAAGCCCGCUCGCCGGAAGACCAAGGGUUCCUGUCCAACGUUAAUCGGGGCAGGGUGAGUCGACCCCUAAGGCGAGGCCGAAAGGCGUAGUCGAUGGGAAACAGGUUAAUAUUCCUGUACUUGGUGUUACUGCGAAGGGGGGACGGAGAAGGCUAUGUUGGCCGGGCGACGGUUGUCCCGGUUUAAGCGUGUAGGCUGGUUUUCCAGGCAAAUCCGGAAAAUCAAGGCUGAGGCGUGAUGACGAGGCACUACGGUGCUGAAGCAACAAAUGCCCUGCUUCCAGGAAAAGCCUCUAAGCAUCAGGUAACAUCAAAUCGUACCCCAAACCGACACAGGUGGUCAGGUAGAGAAUACCAAGGCGCUUGAGAGAACUCGGGUGAAGGAACUAGGCAAAAUGGUGCCGUAACUUCGGGAGAAGGCACGCUGAUAUGUAGGUGAAGUCCCUCGCGGAUGGAGCUGAAAUCAGUCGAAGAUACCAGCUGGCUGCAACUGUUUAUUAAAAACACAGCACUGUGCAAACACGAAAGUGGACGUAUACGGUGUGACGCCUGCCCGGUGCCGGAAGGUUAAUUGAUGGGGUCAGCGCAAGCGAAGCUCUUGAUCGAAGCCCCGGUAAACGGCGGCCGUAACUAUAACGGUCCUAAGGUAGCGAAAUUCCUUGUCGGGUAAGUUCCGACCUGCACGAAUGGCGUAAUGAUGGCCAGGCUGUCUCCACCCGAGACUCAGUGAAAUUGAACUCGCUGUGAAGAUGCAGUGUACCCGCGGCAAGACGGAAAGACCCCGUGAACCUUUACUAUAGCUUGACACUGAACAUUGAGCCUUGAUGUGUAGGAUAGGUGGGAGGCUUUGAAGUGUGGACGCCAGUCUGCAUGGAGCCGACCUUGAAAUACCACCCUUUAAUGUUUGAUGUUCUAACGUUGACCCGUGAUCCGGGUUGCGGACAGUGUCUGGUGGGUAGUUUGACUGGGGCGGUCUCCUCCUAAAGAGUAACGGAGGAGCACGAAGGUUGGCUAAUCCUGGUCGGACAUCAGGAGGUUAGUGCAAUGGCAUAAGCCAGCUUGACUGCGAGCGUGACGGCGCGAGCAGGUGCGAAAGCAGGUCAUAGUGAUCCGGUGGUUCUGAAUGGAAGGGCCAUCGCUCAACGGAUAAAAGGUACUCCGGGGAUAACAGGCUGAUACCGCCCAAGAGUUCAUAUCGACGGCGGUGUUUGGCACCUCGAUGUCGGCUCAUCACAUCCUGGGGCUGAAGUAGGUCCCAAGGGUAUGGCUGUUCGCCAUUUAAAGUGGUACGCGAGCUGGGUUUAGAACGUCGUGAGACAGUUCGGUCCCUAUCUGCCGUGGGCGCUGGAGAACUGAGGGGGGCUGCUCCUAGUACGAGAGGACCGGAGUGGACGCAUCACUGGUGUUCGGGUUGUCAUGCCAAUGGCACUGCCCGGUAGCUAAAUGCGGAAGAGAUAAGUGCUGAAAGCAUCUAAGCACGAAACUUGCCCCGAGAUGAGUUCU
This 2774-nucleotide ribosomal RNA is filed under the name Escherichia coli. RNAcentral's name for it is "bacterial LSU rRNA". It matches the Rfam family "Bacterial large subunit ribosomal RNA". The record is from RNAcentral. Lineage: Bacteria; Pseudomonadati; Pseudomonadota; Gammaproteobacteria; Enterobacterales; Enterobacteriaceae. RNAcentral also lists the same sequence under 1 other name.